AAUCAGUAUGUCUGAAAAUGUAGAGUUCCUUCCUAUUAAGCAUAAGGUUUUGAUGCUCCAUAUGUAGCUCAAGGUUAGUGCUAUUCGUAUCAGCUUGGACCGUUGUUGGUGAGUCCUCAUCUCCUCGAGGACAUCACUUAUGAUUUCUUUUUCAGUAAUUACUUCCAGUUUCCAAACAUGUUAGAGUUAGCUAGGGGUUUGUCCUAGCAACUCAUGUUAGUAGAGGCUAUGAGGCAGUCAGUUAACUUUCAGCCAUGUUUUAUGUUGUCUCUUAGAUAUUAGACUCUGAGUAUUAUG
Molecule: unclassified non-coding RNA, 297 nt
Filed under: Hevea brasiliensis (rubber tree)
Lineage: Eukaryota; Viridiplantae; Streptophyta; Magnoliopsida; Malpighiales; Euphorbiaceae
Source: RNAcentral